UACGUAGGGUGCAGGCGUUAAUCGGAAUUACUGAGCGUAAAGCGUGCGCAGGCGGUUUCUUAAGUCAGAUGUGAAAGCCCCGGGCUUAACCUGGGAACUGCGUUUGAAACUGGGAGACUUGAGUGUGGCAGAGGGGGGUGGAAUUCCACGUGUAGCAGUGAAAUGCGUAGAUAUGUGGAGGAACACCGAUGGCGAAGGCAGCCCCCUGGGAUAACACUGACGCUCAUGCACGAAAGCGUGGGGAGCAAACAGG
RNAcentral lists this ribosomal RNA (253 nucleotides) under uncultured bacterium. RNAcentral's name for it is "partial 16S ribosomal RNA". It matches the Rfam family "Bacterial small subunit ribosomal RNA", at positions 524 to 776 of the family's 1533-position model. The record is from RNAcentral.